Molecule: ribosomal RNA, 483 nt
Filed under: uncultured bacterium
Lineage: Bacteria
Description: partial 16S ribosomal RNA
Rfam family: Bacterial small subunit ribosomal RNA
Source: RNAcentral
AUUGAACGCUAGCGGGAUGCUUUACACAUGCAAGUCGAACGGCAGCGCGGACUUCGGUCUGGCGGCGAGUGGCGAACGGGUGAGUAAUGUAUCGGAACGUGCCCAGUAGCGGGGGAUAACUACGCGAAAGCGUAGCUAAUACCGCAUACGCCCUACGGGGGAAAGCAGGGGAUCGUAAGACCUUGCACUAUUGGAGCGGCCGAUAUCGGAUUAGCUAGUUGGUGAGGUAACGGCUCACCAAGGCGACGAUCCGUAGCUGGUUUGAGAGGACGACCAGCCACACUGGAACUGGGACACGGCCCAGACUCCUACGGGAGGCAGCAUUGGGAAAUUUUGGACAAUGGGGCAACCCUGAUCCAGCCAUCCCGCGUGUGCGAUGAAGGCCUUCGGGUUGUAAAGCACUUUUGGCAGGAAAGAAACGUCGCGGGCUAAUACCCCGUGGAACUGACGGUACCUGCAGAAUAAGCACCGGCUAACUACGUG